This 497-nucleotide ribosomal RNA is filed under the name uncultured bacterium. RNAcentral describes it as "partial 16S ribosomal RNA". It matches the Rfam family "Bacterial small subunit ribosomal RNA", at positions 28 to 507 of the family's 1533-position model. The record is from RNAcentral.
GAUGAACGCUGGCGGCGUGCCUAAUACAUGCAAGUCGAGCGAACAGACGAGGAGCUUGCUCCUCUGACGUUAGCGGCGGACGGGUGAGUAACACGUGGAUAACCUACCUAUAAGACUGGGAUAACUUCGGGAAACCGGAGCUAAUACCGGAUAAUAUAUUGAACCGCAUGGUUCAAUAGUGAAAGACGGUUUUGCUGUCACUUAUAGAUGGAUCCGCGCCGCAUUAGCUAGUUGUUAAGGUAACGGCUUACCAAGGCAACGAUGCGUAGCCGACCUGAGAGGGUGAUCGGCCACACUGGAACUGAGACACGGUCCAGACUCCGACGGGGAGCAGCAGUAGGGAAUCUUCCGCAAUGGGCGAAAGCCUGACGGAGCAACGCCGCGUGAGUGAUGAAGGUCUUCGGAUCGGAAAACUCUGUUAUUAGGGAAGAACAAAUGUGUAAGUAACUAUGCACGUCUUGACGGUACCUAAUCAGAAAGCCACGGCUAACUACGUG